This 839-nucleotide ribosomal RNA is filed under the name Phialophora intermedia. RNAcentral's name for it is "LSU rRNA". It matches the Rfam family "Eukaryotic large subunit ribosomal RNA", at positions 73 to 945 of the family's 3401-position model. The record is from RNAcentral. Lineage: Eukaryota; Fungi; Ascomycota; Eurotiomycetes; Chaetothyriales; Herpotrichiellaceae.
GAUUGCCUAGUAACGGCGAGUGAAGCGGCAACAGCUCGAAUUUGAAAUCUGGCCUCGGCCCGAGUUGUAAUCUGUAGAGGACGCUUUUGGCGCGGUGCCUUCCGAGUUCCCUGGAACGGGACGCCACAGAGGGUGAGAGCCCCGUAAGGUCGGACACCAAGCCUGUGUAAAGCCCCUUCGACGAGUCGAGUAGCUUGGGAAUGCUGCUCUAAGCGGGAGGUAUACUUCUUCUAAAGCUAAAUAUUGGCCAGAGACCGAUAGCGCACAAGUAGAGUGAUCGAAAGAUGAAAAGCACUUUGAAAAGAGGGUCAAAUAGUACGUGAAAUUGUUGAAAGGGAAGCGCUUGUGAUCAGACUCGCGCCGGGCGGAUCAUCCAGUGGUCUCCACUGGUGCACUCCGGCCGGCGCGGGCCAGCGUCGGCUGUUGCGGGGGGACAAAAGCUCUGGGAACGUAGCUCUCUCCGGGGAGUGUUAUAGCCCUCUGCAGAAUACCCCCGCGGCGGCCGAGGUCCGCGCAUUGCAAGGACGCUGGCGUAAUGGUCAUCAGCGACCCGUCUUGAAACACGGACCAAGGAGUCGAGGUUUUGCGCGAGUGUUCGGGUGCAAAGCCCCAACGCGUAAUUAACGUGAACGUAGGUGAGAGCUUCGGCGCAUCAUCGACCGAUCCUGAUGUAUUCGGAUGGAUUUGAGUAGGAGCGUAAAGCCUCGGACCCGAAAGAUGGUGAACUAUGCCUGUAUAGGGUGAAGCCAGAGGAAACUCUGGUGGAGGCUCGCAGCGGUUCUGACGUGCAAAUCGAUCGUCAAAUAUGGGCAUGGGGCGAAAGACUAAUCGAACCAUCU